UAGGGAAUCUUCGGCAAUGGACGGAAGUCUGACCGAGCAACGCCGCGUGAGUGAAGAAGGUUUUCGGAUCGUAAAGCUCUGUUGUAAGAGAAGAACGAGUGUGAGAGUGGAAAGUUCACACUGUGACGGUAUCUUACCAGAAAGGGACGGCUAACUACGUGCCAGCAGCCGCGGUAAUACGUAGGUCCUGAGCGUUGUCCGGAUUUAUUGGGCGUAAAGCGAGCGCAGGCGGUUAGAUAAGUCUGAAGUUAAAGGCUGUGGCUUAACCAUAGUAGGCUUUGGAAACUGUUUAACUUGAGUGCAAGAGGGGAGAGUGGAAUUCCAUGUGUAGCGGUGAAAUGCGUAGAUAUAUGGAGGAACACCGGUGGCGAAAGCGGCUCUCUGGCUUGUAACUGACGCUGAGGCUCGAAAGCGUGGGGAGCAAACAGGAUUAGAUACCCUGGUAGUCCACGCUGUAAACGAUGAGUGCUAGGUGUUAGACCCUUUCCGGGGUUUAGUGCCGUAGCUAACGCAUUAAGCACUCCGCCUGGGGAGUACGACCGCAAGGUUG
This 550-nucleotide ribosomal RNA is filed under the name uncultured bacterium. RNAcentral's name for it is "bacterial SSU rRNA". It matches the Rfam family "Bacterial small subunit ribosomal RNA", at positions 355 to 896 of the family's 1533-position model. The record is from RNAcentral.